Long non-coding RNA from Dreissena polymorpha, 460 nucleotides. RefSeq lists it as uncharacterized. Lineage: Eukaryota; Metazoa; Mollusca; Bivalvia; Myida; Dreissenidae. The transcript has 3 exons. The record is from RefSeq and is a predicted model, not a curated record.
CGGAGUUAAACGAGACACACGCUACCUGGCUGCGAAAGAAUGUGCGUGAAAAUAUCGAUUUGGAUCUGGUUGUACUAUACAGUUGCGACAUCGAGUUCAGCAGACCCAUGCACUGACACCUCGACACAAAAACUGGGUUCGAUUCGGCAGAGGCUUGUCGGAUAUCAACUAGCAGCCGACGAAGAUGCAAUUUGCGAUAUUUAUAUACAAGUGGGCUGGUACUUCACCGAUACGUUCGUCUUAGCCUCUACAAAUCAGCGUUGUGGAACACUACGAAAUUGGUAUCGCAGAGAUAACGACAGUUUACCGAAAAACAUCAACGAACAAAGAAAUAUCGUCUUAUGCAGAAAUGGACCAAGUAAUGUGUGUGAUAAAUUAAGCUCUGCGAACGUUACCAAAUGUGCUGAAGACAAGUAUGUGUUUUAUCUCAUCCCGGUAUCAAGUUGCAUAGAGGCGUACU